RNAcentral lists this non-coding RNA (115 nucleotides) under Methanosarcina mazei Go1. Its description in RNAcentral is "Archaeal Small RNA 41". It matches the Rfam family "Archaeal Small RNA 41". Rfam says of the family: Highly expressed during nitrogen sufficiency. Capable to bind several ribosome binding sites independently within a polycistronic mRNA. Lineage: Archaea; Methanobacteriati; Methanobacteriota; Methanomicrobia; Methanosarcinales; Methanosarcinaceae. The record is from Rfam by way of RNAcentral.
GUCUAGCGAACAGACGUAAAAAUGGGAAACGCCUCCUAAAUAUAUUGUACAAACUUGCAAUGCUGGAAUUCCCCACCUGUGGUGCAGGCAGGUGUGGAGUUUCAGGUGCAAGGGA